Mauremys reevesii (Reeves's turtle) is the source of this 669-nucleotide long non-coding RNA. RefSeq lists it as uncharacterized. The record is from RefSeq and is a predicted model, not a curated record. Lineage: Eukaryota; Metazoa; Chordata; Testudines; Geoemydidae. The transcript is spliced from 3 exons.
UAUGUAACGGUUUAUUACACACACACCCUCAUUCUCAGUUUGCUAAUCCCUAAGUAGUAAUUGCUGCUCAUGCUCACGCUCUUCUGAAGUUUCUCAGCUCAAUGGACGUCUGAAUUCACUGGAGAACAACAGUACCAGGGAGAGAAUCAUCCAUCAAUCCAACUGCAGCACUGGCCUAAAAGAUUUCCAGUUCCAGUUGAAACAAUUUGUGUGUGAAUCAUCUCACAGCAACUCAGCAGAGGGAGCAGGGUGCAAGCUCUGCCCCCCAAACUGGCUGCUGCACAGGGACAAGUGCUACUGGGUGUCUAAAGAAAAAAAUCCCUGGGACAAGAGCCGCGAUGACUGUUCAAGGAGGAGCUCUCGGCUGCUGGUGAUCCGGGACCAGGAUGAGAUGACUUUCAUUCAAAAUACUACCAAAGACACAAACCAGCUCUGGCUUGGACUCACUGUUACAUCCCCCGCGAGGAAUUGCACUUGGGUGGACGGCUCCAUGUUCAAUCCAACACUGUGAGUGUUUUUAUCCUCUCAGUCCAUGUAAGAUGUGCAGCAGGGGGCACAGGCUACGUAUGGGCGCAAGGGAUGUUAAGUGCUGGCACAGUCCUCUGCACAGAGAGACGAGUCCUGAGCCUCAUUCGAUGGCUUCCACAGCAGUUGGGCUAAUCCUGAGGG